GAAGCUUCGCUAGCUAUAUAUAUAUAUGUUAGAAGUAGAUAAAGCAAAAUUAGCCUUCAGGCCGGUGUCUAUAUAUAUAUAUAUAAGAUCAUAUUUGCAACACCAAAUUGUGGCCAUAUAUAUAUGGAUGAAAUACUUGGCAUCAGCAGGAGUUUUUUUGGGCAUUCUACUCAAUGAAGAUCAUCAUGCAUGGCGAGUUUACAACCAUUUUCUUGCCGACACACAUUAUUCGGUGCAAUUUUGUUUGUUUUCAUCUUUUUGGGUAAUGCUUAUAUAUAUAUAGUUUUAAGCUUUUGAAUCUUUGAUCAGGUGGGAAGAGGUGUGUGCUGUUGUUACAGGCGAUUUGCAUGCAUUCGGCUCCCGUGUCAUCAAGAAAUGGCCAGGGAUCACAGGCGAGCCCACUGCAGAUUUCAUGUGAAGGGCAUGCAAGAGAUCAAACAGAUUUUUUGUCGUCCCCAUGCAUCAACAUAUAUAUAUAUAUAUAUAUAUAUAUAUAUAUAUACAUGCCACUAGAAGGCGUGAGAUAACUCCGAACUGAUCCCCACCUUUCCUAUAAUUGAUCUCUUCGCCUCUUUCAUAUAUAGAUUAUGAUCACUUGAGUCCAGAACCAACCCACAUGGAAGGUAUGGAUGCAUAUGCAGUCCCAUCCCAAUCUAGGUUAACGUUGAGCCUGAGCACCAAAUUCCAAAAUAUAUUUGCCCCCACCCUAUAAUGUGUUACGCAGCUUCCGCGAAGCUUCGUCUUUCUACCUCAGCAUUACCGGACGGUUCUGUACGGACAGUUGCUAUAUGUGUAUUUUUUUCACUUCCAUAUAGAUGAUAUAGCAGAUGAAAAACAUAUAUAAACAUAAAUAUAUAUAUAUGUAAUUUGUGGUGUCAAAGAGUAAAUAUGAUUCUGAAAGUGUAUAACUUGAUUGCUUGGUCGAAGUCCUGAUCUACUCUUCAGAACGUUGAAACGUCAACCUUGUGGUAGUGACAAAAUGUAUUGAUCUUUUGGGGAUUAAUGCAGUUGAUCACGCAAUACU
Long non-coding RNA from Juglans microcarpa x Juglans regia, 1024 nucleotides. RefSeq lists it as uncharacterized. The record is from RefSeq and is a predicted model, not a curated record. The transcript is spliced from 2 exons. NCBI's taxonomy places the organism in Eukaryota, Viridiplantae, Streptophyta, Magnoliopsida, Fagales, Juglandaceae.